Long non-coding RNA from Homo sapiens (human), 10053 nucleotides. RefSeq lists it as uncharacterized. The transcript is spliced from 3 exons. The record is from RefSeq and is a predicted model, not a curated record. NCBI's taxonomy places the organism in Eukaryota, Metazoa, Chordata, Mammalia, Primates, Hominidae.
CAUGCCACUGCACUCCAGCCUGGGCCACAGAGCAAGACUGGUCUCCAAUUAAAAAAAAGAAAAUCAGUUUUUAAAGUAAACUUUCAAAAGUCUGUAGCUACUUUGUGUCAAUUCUGCACAAGAUGGGUUUUCCUAGUAUUGGAAUUUUGGAGGGUCUGCCCCUCUCUGUUGACAUUUGGAAAAAAACAAAUCUUCAUUCAUAUAAUCUCAGACAGUUCUUAACCCCACUGCACAUUAACAUUACCUGGGGAGCUUAAAAACAAAAGUUAUUCCUGUUCUUCACCCAACUCCCAUACAACUGAAUACAAUUUUCUGGAGAGGAGCUGGGUUGGGUAUUACUUAGGCUCUUUGGAAGAUUUUCCUGAGCAGAAAAUGUUUAGAAGCACUGAUCUAGGAUAAUAAGCAAUCAUCUAGGAGGGAAGCCGUGUAGAUAUUUUGUUUUGAUCUCAGAGGCAUAAGAAUGAAUUAACCACUCCUCAUUCCCCCAGAGAUAAUGUGUGGAAAAACUUGUUUUCAAACCAUCCCGAAGAAAAGCAAAUGUGAUUUAAGGCCAGAUUGUUUCCAAGUGGCCUUUUGCAGUUCCUUUGUUCUGCAUUCAGACUGAGUUGUGCGUGGAAAUAGUUUAGGUAUUAGUCCAUGAACAUGGAAUUUGACCUUGGUAAGGAAAUACAUCCUCCGCUUUCCUCACUAACCAAUUGUAUUCAUUUGUUAGGGCUGCUGGAAUAAAGUGCCACAGAUGGGCGGCUUAGAACAACUGAAGUAUACCUUCUUGGGUCUGGAGGCGAGAAGUCUGUGUAGCAGGGCCAUCCUGCCUCUGAAGUCUCUUUACUUCAGGCCAUCUGGAUGUAUAUGUGCAAGUCACAGGGGAUGCGAUGGCUUGGCCUGGGCUCAGAGGCCUGACAACAGGGAUGGAACCCUCAUGAAUGAGAUUAUUGCCCUUAUUAAAAAGGCCCCAGAGAGCUACUUCAUCCCUUCUGCCAUAUGAGGACACAGCAAGAAGACAGCUGUCUAUGAACCAGGAAUCAGGCUUUCACCAGACACCGACUCUGACGUGAUCUUGGACUUCCCAGCCUCCAGAAGUGUCAGAAAUAAAUGUCUAUUGUUUAAGCCACCCAGUCUGCAGUAUUCUGUUACAGCAGCCUGAACUGAGGUAAAACAGGUGGAAGGCCCUGUCAAAGCAUCCUUGUAUGCUGCUGAAAGUUACACCGCCUCUUUUCCUUAUUCUAUUUUUUUUCCUUUUAUUCUAUUUUUUUUAUUCUAUCUGAGAUGAGGAAUUGAUGGUUAGCAUGCUUGCUGCCGUCUUGAACCUUGGGGUGAUCUUGUUAAGUCAGUGGAACCUAUAGAUUGAGGGAGCCCCAAUUUCAAAUUUCCUUAGGGCUAUCAUGCCAGCUCUGGGCUGACUCCUCUAAGCCUCUCUUUAUUUGUGUAGACUUAUCUCUAGUUAAAACCACUUUAUAUGGGGUUUCCUUUUAUAUACAGUAGAACCUAAUCUUUAUUGAUAUAUCCCCAAAUUUGGAACUUUAUGAGUUUCGUUUAAGUUAUAAACAUCACUAAUCAAAUCACCUAAAUUCUGUCUUCAAGGUACAUUUCCUGAGCCUAAAACUUGCCUUUCUUUCCUUAAGAGGAAAAGGAACAAUUUGGAGUUUAUAUUUAAAAACUCUCUGAGUUCCAAGAUGAUUGGAACAAGUCUCAAUGGGAGGAACAGGUCAAGUCACAUUGUACCUUUAGUGUCUCCUGGUGACAAUGAAAGGGAGCUUUCAGUUGACACGUGCAUGAAGGAAGGAAGGAGUGCUGGGUGAGAAGCAGCAUAGGACUAGAGGAAAGCAAGAGAGUGAUUGCUUUUCGUUAUACUUUCCUACUUUUCAAGUCUGUUUAUUGAGGGAAUUCAGUUGUAAUGAUGUGUUGAAAGUGCUUUUUAAAUGAUAAAAUGCCUUAUGUAUGUUAUUUACUGAGCACUGAGUUAUAUAUAAGGAUGUUCAGAUACACUACGACAGUUUUUCCAAGUGACAACUGCUAGAUAUUAACAGGUGUCAUAAGCAAGAAAAGUUUGUGACAAACGGGUUUGGGAAAUGUCAUGUCAGGUCUCUUUAUUACAGGACUUCUCAGUGCCUUUAACGUAUUAAUGUACAUUGUGAGUAUCAAAGAAAAAGGAAGGUUGUGGGGAAGGGGAUAUGCCAUGCGGUAUUAUUUUUUAAUAUUAAAAAUAUGGGUGUCUUGAAGAAUAGAACAACCUUGGAGAAAGGCAGCUUUAGGAAGAAUUAUGUAAAGAUGUAAGAAUACAUAUUUAGUACCUACUAGAUGCAAGGUUCCAGAGCAUACAUAAAAUGAGACACAUUGUCCUUGAAUUCUGAAAACAAACACUUUUUAUGGGUUGGUGGGGCGCAAAACAUUUACAUGUGGAAGAAUAAUAUUUAGGAUAGAAUCUAAGUGCCACUUGUACCCAACAUUGUACCCAAUAGGUAACUUUUCAACCUUCAUUCAGUCCCUGUCUUCUGAGAGCUUAUGAUGUAGGGCUGGUGAGGAUGGUGGAUAAGGAUGAGGCCAAGGAUAACAUGGAGUGGGAUUAGAGAACACAGGCAGUGGUGAAGAGGUUCAAAGAAGACAAUUGUCACACCCAAGAGAGGGAUUACGGAGGGGAAGGAGAGACUCACUAAAGGGAGGAUCUCACAAGAUAGGCAGAAUUUCAAGAGAGAUGGGAUUGAGGUCAUUUUGUGGGCUGAAGCUAUCCUCCUACUUCAGCCUCCUGAGUAGCCGGUCUUGAACUUCUGGACUCAACAGUACUUUCUAAUACUGGAGUUAUUAGAAAAAAAAACAAACCCAAAACUUAAAAAGGAAGACCCUUAUCCUUCACUGAGGAUCUGUUUCUUUUUUAAAAAAAUUUUAAACAUUGUUUUAUAAAGAUAAUGUCUCACUGUGUUACUCAAGCUGGUCUUGAACUCUUGGUCUCAAUUGACCUUCCUUCCUCUUGACUCCCAAAGUAUUGGGAUUACAGGCGUGAGCCGCCGUACUUGGCUGAGGAGCUUUUUAAUGGGAAAUUCUUAGAUGGCUUCAUUGUCUAUGGGUGUAAUUUCCUGAGACAGUCCUACUAUCCUGGUCUUUAUUGCUGUAUUUGAAUUUCUUUUCUUUUCCUUUUUUUUGAGAUGGAGUCUCGCUCUGUCACCCAGGCUGGAGUGCAAUGGCACAAUCUUGGCUCAUUGCAACCUCUGCCUCCCGGUUUCAAACGAUUCUCCUGCCUCAGCCUCUGAGUAGCUGGGAUUACAGGCAUGUGCCACCACGCCUGGCUAAUUUUGUAUUUUUAGUAGAGACAGGGUUUCACCAUAUUGGCCAGGCUGGUCUCGAACUCCUGACCUCAUGAUCUGCCCGCCUCGGCCUCCCAAAGUGAUGGGAUUUCAGGCGUGAGCCACCUCGCCCGGCCUUUGAAUUUAUUUUCUUUUGAGUAAUAGGUACAGUUCUACUGUUCUACAUGAAGAAUGAGUUUACAUUCUUCACAUAAAUUUCUAAGUGUCAACUUAUAAAAGCUCUAUUACCAUAUUUCUAAUUUUUUUCUGUUCAUUAAUGUCAUUUUAGACUUCUGUUUGAUGGUUUCUGUUCCUCAACUCAUUGUUCUCAGAAUAGCCUUUGAAAGUCACAUUAAACACAGAUGAGAUGUGCAAAAUAACUUCAAAUUUUUAGAGAAGAAACCACAUAAAGGUGGCGUUGGGUUAUCUGGGACAGGGAUACGGAGGGAAGCAAAACUAAGUAUAUGUGCCUUCUAGUGGGCAUUCCAGCAAAGAAGCCAGAUUGAUUUUCUAUUUGAUUUCUUCUGAGUGGUUUCACUCCUUGCUGGAGUCAAUGUCAUAUGAUCUUGAUCAUUUGCCAAUAUAAGUAAGAAAUCUAAGUGUAAUUAUUGGACAGGAAGGGAAGCAAGAACUCUUCAGCUUUAAAAUCCAAUGGCAUAUAAUAAUAAUUAACCCUGUUUUGUGGAAUAAAAUAUCAGCAGGAAUAUUUAACAUGAAGCAUACUGUUUCCCAAUACCUUCGUUGCAUUGUCAAAAAGUUUUAGCCCCAGGAUUCUGUUUUUUAUUUACUGUUUCUGUCCACCUCUCUGCUAAGGAACUUGUUGGUCUGCUGAUUCUAUUAAGAUUAGCAUUGCAGUAGCCCAACCUUGAAAACAGCUAUGCUGGAAGGAUCAAUGACUCUAGCCAUCAAAGUGGACAAGGGAAGGGAACCUCACUUGCAGUUCCUCGGUCUACCUGCCCACCUCAGCUUCAGGGCCUUUUGAUAUGGUGGGCUAGAGGAGGUCCAAAUGCUGGUGGGAUCUCAACCUCACCUGGUGUCCAGGUGCUUGACACCAUCCCAAGAAGGAAUUCAUGAGUCAGAAAAUUGUAGAAGUAUGGAGAUUUAUUGCAAAGGGAAAAGUACACCCUCAAGGGGCAAGGGGAGCGUGGGCAUACUCAGGAGAGUUGUGCGUGUGAGGGGGUUUGGGGCUGCUACCUUUAUGGGCUUCAUUCACCAAGGUGGGGAAUAUUCAUGAAAAUUCCUGGAAGGUGGUGGAGAUUUCUUGGAACUGUGGUGUCACCGUUUUUAUACCAAAUGUGGGUGUUCCUGAAACUAUCAUGGCACUCGUGGGGGAGUUGAUUAAGUAUGCUAAUGAGUGCAUAAUGAGGUUCUAAGAGGAACCUAGGUCAGAUCCAGCAUCAUUUUGGGUCCAGUUGGUCUUAGCCAGCUUGGUCCACGCCCCAGUAUUUCAGGGUCUUAUCAGUCCCUAGCUUCUGCAGGUAAUUUCAACAGUUUCUUUUUACUAGUCAUGUGAAACUCCUGCCUGGAAUUUUCUGUUCUCCUGAACCACUCUGUAUUAUUCCUGUCUCGCUUUGACUUGGUGUUCCCUGCCCCAAAAGGCUCUUUGCCUGGUCUCUGCACAGUUGCUACCUAAAAAGUCUUUUCCUGACACCUCCCACCCCUCGAGUAAAAUCACACAUUCUUCUGGCUUCCUAUUCUUUCAUUUUAACUUUUUAAAUACUUCUCACCCUUCAUGUGUUACCUGUUUGUUCAUGAUGUAUUUGUUUGUGAACUGUCUUCUCCCUAGAGCAGUACCCUAUCAGGACUUAGGCUCUGGGGAUUUCACUGCUCAUUCUCCAGCCUGGCACAUAAGAGGUGGUCAGUAAAACUGUCGAAUGAAUGAGUGAAUGAGUGAAUCACAGUUAACCUCAGUUAUAAAGAUGUAAUCAUCAGUCUUCCCAAAAUUCUUACAAUACUGGACACUUUAAAGGAAAUGAGGCUUUUUUAAAAAAAGAAAAAGCAUUUCCUGGCAGGAAUUUAUGUAUUUGUAUGCAAUAUGUGGGUAGUUACAGUACAGUGCAAGAAAAACAACCAUAUUUCCUGUCCUCUAGGAAUUUGAAAUCUGUAAAGAACUCUAACAUUGGAAAUGCCUGAUAACAUACAUCUGCAGUUAUUUGUGGCAAAAGACAAGGCAAAUAGGCAAAUAUUCGGUAUUAUAAAAAAUGCACAGAUUUCAAAGGACAAGUAUAGGUGGAUUUACAUGCCUACAUCUUUUGAGGUCUUUCUUCUUUGAGAGGAAAGGGAGAGACCCUGGUUAGGCCAGAAAUCCAUGGAGAAGAGUUUUCUUCCUCUUCUGCCUUCCACUGUGGUUGGUAGAUUUUCAAGAUUUUAGUGGAGAUUGAUGGAGGAUCCUGCAGGCUGCAGCCUCAUCCCCCUCACAAUGUAUUUUUUGUAAUAGGUGAAAUGCUGCUUCUUUAUUAUGGUCAGGAGAAAUGUUCUCUCACUGCUGGUGGCCAGUAUAUAAAUCUUAACUUGUAUGUUUAUAUAUUCAGCAUUAUGUAUGUGUAUGUGCGCAUGUGUGUGUGUUUGUGUGUAAUGGAUUUUAGUUGUGCAUUUAGUAGGAUAAAACACAUGCAUUUCUUUCAUUUAUGACUUAUACUGUGACUAAUUGUGGUUCAUUUUAAGACUAUUUAUUUUAAAGAGUUACCGCAAAAAAGUCUUUGAAUUGUUGGCAUGCUAAAGUUAAUGAUAAUAAGAAUCAAGAUUUUGAAAAGCACACUUCUUAAUUUCUUCUUUCCUCAUUUAACCAGAGCUGAACAGCUUACAAGUAGAAAUCAUGGGUUUUGGUAUAUAGAAAUAUAGGCUUAAAAAUAUGGAUGCAAUUUUAAUACAAUGCAGUUUUAUGAGGCGGAAUAUCUUAGUUGUUUGACCCUAACCGACUUCAUUAGGAUGUUGUAAUUCCCCUCCUUUAACUUGCCCAUUUUGGGCGGGGGGGAAUCCUUGUGGAAUGCAGUGAUUCAAGAGCUUAAGGACAGCAAGAGAGCAGGGGUAGGGAUGGUUACAAGGUAAGACGUGUAGUCCCUGAGCAAGGCCUCCUUAAGGAUGUGAAUUCUGAUUACUGCAACUGAAGAAGACAGAUGUGGGAAGAGAGUGCAAAUCCCAGUCACCCCACCCAUGCCCGUCUUUUGCUGGCUGAGGGGUGGCUCUGUGUCUUUUGCUCCACAUCCCCUGUGAAUGUGAGGGCAAAGAACUCUGCUGAAGUUGUUGGUCUUUUGUCAGAAGAAGGCUUUAAGUACUGGCAUUCUUUCCUCAUGAGCACAGAUCCGGCUCCUGUUUCUCAGGGAGGGCAGUGAACUUGCUCUACAUUCCUCAUGGGUAAUGAAGUUGUUCCCAAGCCUGUCACCACCACAUCCUUCCAACCCUGCUCUUAAGCUUCUUUUUCAGAGGGAAGCAGAAUGUUUACUCAGUAGGACAUCCUAAAGGACAGAGGCAAGGCAAGGAGAGGAUGGAGAAAAGCUCAUUCUCUUUUGACCACAAUCACUGUCACUGGCUGCAGGGUGUGGAAAAUGGGAAGGCACAGUAUAUCAUCAUUUCCUCAGGACGGAAUGCUGGCCAGUGCCCGAUGGGAACAACAGCUAGCAAAUUAGUGAAUUGUGGCUGCCCAUUAUUUAAGAGAGAACACGUGGUAACCACCUUCAGUAAAUAAAUGCAGAUGAAUUUGGUGAUUUACAACUCUUGUGUUUUCUUGUGGUAACACAGUUGUCCAACUGAUCAGGCAUGAAUGUUAAUUUACACACCAUAAGGUACGUGGUUAGUGGUUCUCAACAUUUUUAAACAUGAGAAACCUGUUCUAACAUACACAGAGUUCACAGAUCUUUAAGAACUUUUAGCUGUUCUGUUAUCUGUUGGUUGAGAAGACACAUAAUGGUGAGAUCAAAAUGUAUUAAGUGGAUUUGAAUUACAAUUAUCAUGGAACUUACUAUAUUUGAAAACUGUGUGUAUGUAGCAUAUUACACACAAUGGUGCUCAGGGAUUCAGGAUCUUUUCUCGUCCCCACCAAACUGAGGACCCUCCUCUGCCCUCCCCCGUUCUCAGUUCAGGGCCAAAGCCCCCAGGUUGGGAUCUACUGGGAGAAUCAAAAGAUUGUGAAUUUUGGGUCAGGCAGAGAGGGGAUCAAAUUUCAACUCUACCACAUCCUGUAUGAUCUUGGGUAAGUUACUAAACCUUGCUGUGCCCCAGCUUCCUCGUCUUUAAAAUGGAGAUCAGUUCCUAUGAAGACUUAACCUCCUAGGGGUUUUGGAGGAAUUGAAGUUUUGUUGUACCAUGAAUAGUGCCUGCGCAGGAAAGGUGGCACUUAAAAUUUUUUCCCCACUUCUUGCCUACUCUCCCCACCUCCAGGACAGAUUCAAGACCAGUAAUGCACAAGAUGAAAAUCAAUAAGUUAAUUCUUUCUGCCUCUGAGCAUUCAUUUAGCCGGUACUGUAUGUUCUAGUUAGUAGAGCUAUUUGACAAAUGACUACUACUUUUAGUGGCGUAAAACAAAUCUUUAUUACACUCACCAAUUCUCUGGACAGGGUACAACAGGGACAGCUCGUCUCUGAUCCGUGUUGUGGAACUUCAGCUGGGCAGACUGAAAGGAUGGGGGCUAAUUACCUGGUGGCUCAUUCCCUCAGCAUCUGACGGAUAAUGCUGGCUGUCACCUAAGACCUUAACUGAGGCUUUUGGCCAGAACGCUGGUGCCCCAUUGGCCCUGGCUUUCUCACAGCAUGGUGGCUGGGUUCCAAAAGGAAACAUCCUGAGAGAGCUAAACGGAAACCUCAUCCAUCCCCUGUCAUGGUCUAGCCUUGGAAAUCAUACAGCAUCGCUUCUGCCACCUUCCAUCCAUUGAGAUUGUCACAACAUCCCGCUCAUAUUCAAAGGGAGGAGAAAUAGAUUAUGCCUCUUGAUGCAAGGUGGUUCUGGAGAGUAUAUGGGAACAGAAAUCUUACCGCACCCUUUGUGGAAAAUCUCUGCCACGGUAUGUGAGCAGUUUGUAAAUUUAUAGAAAGGGACUCCUUGAAUGUCCUUGCACUGCUCUUCCCUGAGUUACCGUGGUUGCACGCUGGACUAAAAGCUAAGACCUUAACACAAAGACCUGAAAUAUAGUAUCUGAACUCUGUCCCAGGGCACGUGUCACCUUCUAGCUUUGAACUGGAGCCUGGGUUUUCAUCUAAAAGCUGGCUUUUAGAUGUCUGGUCAAUGGCAUGUCAGUAACUGAACUCUGCGCUAUAUGCUAGGUGGUAAUAUCAAGGUGUAAGACGCACCAGCGAAGCCAAGGGCUGACUUUCUUUCCAAUUCAAAGAUAUUUUUUGUGGUAACUCUUUAAAAUAAAGUCUUAAAAUCAGCCCUAACCUGAUUUUAUUUCUGGACAAGAGCCAUAUUACCUGUACCCCACUUUGUCUCCAUUACUAAAAGUUCACCAAUUACAUUGUCUUCCUAAGAUUUAAAAAAAAAUUUAAAUAAUUAUAGAAAAAGUUGUAGUGUUUGGAAAGCUACCUUAGAAGGAGAAGAAUUGGCCUCUAGUUAGGAAUGAGAAUUCUUCCUUAUGAUAUUAUGACAGUUACUUUCCCCAGUAAAUAUUUAUUUCUUCUCAGAGCUUAUUUGCAAGUGAGAUAUACUUAAAGCUAAACAAACGAUUAGCUCACAAAGUGUUAAACCAAAAAGAAGUUUCGCAGAAAAAGAAUGGACACAUAAUUUUAAAAAUGUAUAUGUAUCAUAUAGUUUGAUUAUGUGUAAACCAAAAAUUUAAGGGAGGAUGAUGGGUUGUUUAUCAUUUAUAUGGAGUCAAGUUAGUCUAUAAAAUGUUCAAUCGCUUCCAGACUCUGAAAGUCAUUCUAUGACCCUGUCUCAGAUUUUUUUUUUUUUUUUUUUUUUUUUUUGAGAUGGAGUCUCGCUCUGUCGCCCAGGCUGGAGUGCAGUGGCGCAAUCUCGGCUCACUGGAAGCUCCACCUCCCGGGUUCAUGCCAUUCUCCUGCCUCAGCCUCCCGAGUAGCUGGGACUAUAGGCGCCCGCCACCACGCCCAGCUAAUUUUUUGUAUUUUUAGUAGAGAUGGGGUUUCACCGUGUUAGCCAGGGUGGUCUCGAUCUCCUGACUUUGUGAUCUGCCCACCUCGGCCUCCCAAAGUGCUGGGAUUACAGGCGUGAGCCACCGCGCCCGGCAGAUUUUUUUUUCUACUUGACUAAUAAAAGUAAUAGCGCUUUCAUGAGGUCUCACUGGGCUGUUUGGAGUAUGUGAGGGAUAACAGAGGUGAAAAGUUUUUGGAAAUCUGCAUGUGCUAUUCACAUGUAAAGUUCUGGCUUUUAUUUUUUACUUUUUUUACUUAUUAGAGCUAGUUCUCACUAUGUUGCCCAGGCUGGCCACAAACUCCUGGGCUCAAGUAAUCCUCCGCGCUCAGCCUCCGGAGUAGCUGGAAUUACAGGAGUGCACUGUAAUUUUUGUUGUUGUUGCUAUUAUUAGUCAGAGGUGGGACUCCAUGACAGCCCACAGAGAGGGGAGGAACAAAGACCUGCCUUCCCACAUGGGUUCUCUUCCCCUAUUUCUUAUAUUUCCCCUUCUUCCUUCUCCUCUCUUAAGUCUCUUUCUUCCCAUUGCCUUUUUUUCCUUCCCUGUCUUCUGUAAGGUCUUCGGCCUCCCGUUGUUGUCCAUAGAUAUUGCUUCUGGUAUCUGGACUCUGAAUGCCUUGUGAUCAAAACUAUGUUGUUUAUAUAGAUAUGUGUGUGUAUGUAUGUAGAUGUAGAUGUGUAUAUAUAUAUAUAU